AUACUUACCUGGAAGGGGUCAAUGGUUGAUCAUGAAUGACCAUGGCCUAGGAGAGUGACCUUCAUUGCAUUUAGGAGGGGGUGCUUGCUAUCCUAAGGUCUAUCCACAUGGUGGAACCUACAUCAUAAUUUGGAAUUGUAUCAUAAGAUUCUUACUACAAU
Small nuclear RNA from Vicia villosa (hairy vetch), 161 nucleotides. RefSeq annotates it as U1 spliceosomal RNA. The record is from RefSeq and is a predicted model, not a curated record. NCBI's taxonomy places the organism in Eukaryota, Viridiplantae, Streptophyta, Magnoliopsida, Fabales, Fabaceae. The transcript has a single exon.